UUGCCGGGUCAGCUAGAGUCGGGGCAAUUUAAUAGGCCACAUUUGACAUCUGUCAGAAUAAUCUCCAUAGUGAGGUGAGCUGCAUAAAAACAUCGACCAAAACGAAUAAAUCGAUACGCACUUGAAAUAAAAUAUUUGAAUUUUAUAUGUUAUUUAUAAAACCAAAAACGAAUUCCUGUCCUAUUAUUACUUUUUUUUUGCAAAUUCAAGGAGCAAAAUAAGACAAGUACAUAAUUUACAAGAAA
Aricia agestis (brown argus) is the source of this 245-nucleotide long non-coding RNA. RefSeq lists it as uncharacterized. The transcript is spliced from 3 exons. Lineage: Eukaryota; Metazoa; Arthropoda; Insecta; Lepidoptera; Lycaenidae. The record is from RefSeq and is a predicted model, not a curated record.